AUUGAACGCUGGCGGCAGGCCUAACACAUGCAAGUCGAGCGGAUGAAGAGAGCUUGCUCUCUGAUUCAGCGGCGGACGGGUGAGUAAUGCCUAGGAAUCUGCCUGGUAGUGGGGGACAACGUUUCGAAAGGAACGCUAAUACCGCAUACGUCCUACGGGAGAAAGUGGGGGAUCUUCGGACCUCACGCUAUCAGAUGAGCCUAGGUACGAUUAGCUAGUUGGUGAGGUAAAGGCUCACCAAGGCGACGAUCGUUAACUGGUCUGAGAGGAUGAUCAGUCACACUGGAACGGAGACACGGUCCAGACUCCUACGGGAGGCAGCAGUGGGGAAUAUUGGACAAUGGGCGAAAGCCUGAUCCAGCCAUGCCGCGUGUGUGAAGAAGGUCUUCGGAUUGUAAAGCACUUUAAGUUGGGAGGAAGGGCAGUAAGUUAAUACCUUGCUGUUUUGACGUUACCGACAGAGUAAGCACCGGCUAACUUCGUGCCAGCCGCCGCAGUAA
This 500-nucleotide ribosomal RNA is filed under the name uncultured bacterium. Its description in RNAcentral is "partial 16S ribosomal RNA". It matches the Rfam family "Bacterial small subunit ribosomal RNA", at positions 30 to 523 of the family's 1533-position model. The record is from RNAcentral.